GCACGGGGGAGAGGUAGCUCAGUCGGUAGAGCACGAGACUCUUAUCUCAAGGUUGUGGGUUCGAGUCCCAGGUUGGGCA
Podarcis lilfordi (Lilford's wall lizard) is the source of this 79-nucleotide non-coding RNA. Lineage: Eukaryota; Metazoa; Chordata; Lepidosauria; Squamata; Lacertidae. The record is from the annotation of a GenBank genome assembly.